AGCGGCGGACGGGUGAGUAAUGCCUAGGAAUCUGCCUGGUAGUGGGGGAUAACGUUCGGAAACGGACGCUAAUACCGCAUACGUCCUACGGGAGAAAGCAGGGGACCUUCGGGCCUUGCGCUAUCAGAUGAGCCUAGGUCGGAUUAGCUAGUUGGUGAGGUAAUGGCUCACCAAGGCGACGAUCCGUAACUGGUCUGAGAGGAUGAUCAGUCACACUGGAACUGAGACACGGUCCAGACUCCUACGGGAGGCAGCAGUGGGGAAUAUUGGACAAUGGGCGAAAGCCUGAUCCAGCCAUGCCGCGUGUGUGAAAAAGGUCUUCGGAUUGUAAAGCACUUUACCUUGGGAGGAAGGGCAGUUACCUAAUACGUCAUUGUUUUGACGUU
This 386-nucleotide ribosomal RNA is filed under the name bacterium AL2YTEN-66. RNAcentral describes it as "bacterial SSU rRNA". It matches the Rfam family "Bacterial small subunit ribosomal RNA", at positions 94 to 476 of the family's 1533-position model. The record is from RNAcentral.